AGAGUUUGAUCCUGGCUCAGGACGAACGCUGGCGGCGUGCCUAACACAUGCAAGUCGAGCGGGGAGAGCCUUUCGGGGUUCUUCCAGCGGCGGACGGGUGAGUAACGCGUGAGCAACCUUUCCUUCACAGGGGGAUAACGCAGCGAAAGCUGUGCUAAUACCGCUUAAGACCACAAUGCCGCAUGGCGAAGGGGUCAAAGGAGCAAUCCGGUGAAGGGUGGGCUCGCGUCUGAUUAGCUAGUUGGCGGGGUAAUGGCCCACCAAGGCAACGAUCAGUAGCCGACCUGAGAGGGUGAUCGGCCACACUGGGACUGAGACACGGCCCAGACUCCUACGGGAGGCAGCAGUGGGGAAUAUUGGGCAAUGGGGGAAACCCUGACCCAGCAACGCCGCGUGAGGGAAGAAGGUUUUCGGAUCGUAAACCUCUGUCCUCAGGGACGAAGAAAUGACGGUACCUGAGGAGGAAGCCCCGGCUAACUACGUGCCAGCAGCCGCGGUAAUACGUAGGGGGCAAGCGUUGUCCGGAAUGAUUGGGCGUAAAGGGCGCGUA
This 550-nucleotide ribosomal RNA is filed under the name uncultured bacterium. RNAcentral's name for it is "bacterial SSU rRNA". It matches the Rfam family "Bacterial small subunit ribosomal RNA", at positions 8 to 573 of the family's 1533-position model. The record is from RNAcentral.